Molecule: ribosomal RNA, 1199 nt
Filed under: Halomonas sp. VS05_20
Lineage: Bacteria; Pseudomonadati; Pseudomonadota; Gammaproteobacteria; Oceanospirillales; Halomonadaceae
Description: bacterial SSU rRNA
Rfam family: Bacterial small subunit ribosomal RNA
Source: RNAcentral
AAACCCAGGCUAAUACCGCAUACGUCCUACGGGAGAAAGGGGGCUUCGGCUCCCGCUAUUGGAUNAGCCUAUGCCGGAUUAGCUGGUUGGUGAGGUAAUGGCUCACCAAGGCGACGAUCCGUAGCUGGUCUGAGAGGAUGAUCAGCCACAUCGGGACUGAGACACGGCCCGAACUCCUACGGGAGGCAGCAGUGGGGAAUAUUGGACAAUGGGGGCAACCCUGAUCCAGCCAUGCCGCGUGUGUGAAGAAGGCCCUCGGGUUGUAAAGCACUUUCAGCGAGGAAGAACGCCUGUCGGUUAAUACCCGGCAGGAAAGACAUCACUCGCAGAANNAANCACCGGCUAACUCCGUGCCAGCAGCCGCGGUAAUACGGAGGGUGCAAGCGUUAAUCGGAAUUACUGGGCGUAAAGCGCGCGUAGGUGGCUUGAUAAGCCGGUUGUGAAAGCCCCGGGCUCAACCUGGGAACGGCAUCCGGAACUAUUAGGCUAGAGUGCAGGAGAGGAAGGUAGAAUUCCCGGUGUAGCGGUGAAAUGCGUAGAGAUCGGGAGGAAUACCAGUGGCGAAGGCGGCCUUCUGGACUGACACUGACACUGAGGUGCGAAAGCGUGGGUAGCAAACAGGAUUAGAUACCCUGGUAGUCCACGCCGUAAACGAUGUCGACCAGCCGUUGGGUGCCUAGCGCACUUUGUGGCGAAGUUAACGCGAUAAGUCGACCGCCUGGGGAGUACGGCCGCAAGGUUAAAACUCAAAUGAAUUGACGGGGGCCCGCACAAGCGGUGGAGCAUGUGGUUUAAUUCGAUGCAACGCGAAGAACCUUACCUACCCUUGACAUCCUGCGAACUUGUGAGAGAUCACUUGGUGCCUUCGGGCCCGCAGAGACAGGUGCUGCAUGGCUGUCGUCAGCUCGUGUUGUGAAAUGUUGGGUUAAGUCCCGUAACGAGCGCAACCCUUGUCCCUAUUUGCCAGCGAUUCGGUCGGGAACUCUAGGGAGACUGCCGGUGACAAACCGGAGGAAGGUGGGGACGACGUCAAGUCAUCAUGGCCCUUACGGGUAGGGCUACACACGUGCUACAAUGGCCGGUACAAAGGGCUGCGAGCUCGCGAGAGUCAGCGAAUCCCUUAAAGCCGGUCUCAGUCCGGAUCGGAGUCUGCAACUCGACUCCGUGAAGUCGGAAUCGCUAGUAAUCGUGCAUCAGAA